Molecule: long non-coding RNA, 267 nt
Filed under: Brachypodium distachyon (stiff brome)
Lineage: Eukaryota; Viridiplantae; Streptophyta; Magnoliopsida; Poales; Poaceae
Description: long non-coding RNA (BDIS_LNC004238)
Source: RNAcentral
CCGUUAUUUUCUUUUCCUCCGGUUAAAAUUACAACCAAUAUGACACUGUCCGUUAUUUUCUUUUUCUCCAGUUUUUUUCACGAUUUCUCCUACUCCGUCUUACAACCGACGCCACCACACCCGCAUGCCAACCUCAACGGCGCCAUGAGUUGCCUACACAGAAAACAAUAAUAAAUAGUUUGUGAUUUUAUUGACCCAUAGCAACACGUGGGCACACCUGCUAGUCUACUAGUAUUCUUUAAUUUCCAGUUUGCGUACGUUGGUCGU